RNAcentral lists this long non-coding RNA (249 nucleotides) under Phoenix dactylifera (date palm). RNAcentral describes it as "long non-coding RNA (PDAC_LNC020136)". The record is from RNAcentral. Lineage: Eukaryota; Viridiplantae; Streptophyta; Magnoliopsida; Arecales; Arecaceae.
UCCUUCUCCUUCUCCUUUGAACCCACCGAAGGAGAGCCGCCGCAAAGGGGGAGGGUCUUCUUCGCGUUGCCGCCGAAAGUGAGAGGGAGAGAGAGAGGGCUAUUGGGUUCGUACGGGGGUCUUCUUCUUCUUCAUUGCCAUCGGAGAGGGGGAGAACCACCGGUCUUCGUCGGGGCUGAGGUAAGAGUCCCUCGCCUUCUUCUCCUCCUCUUUUGAUGUUUAGCCUUGGUGUAUGGGGUUUUUGAGCCG